Molecule: ribosomal RNA, 811 nt
Filed under: uncultured bacterium
Lineage: Bacteria
Description: bacterial SSU rRNA
Rfam family: Bacterial small subunit ribosomal RNA
Source: RNAcentral
CAUGCAAGUCGAACGAGAGAUGAAGAGCUUGCUCUUCAAAUCGAGUGGCGAACGGGUGAGUAACGCGUGAGGAACCUGCCUCAAAGAGGGGGACAACAGUUGGAAACGACUGCUAAUACCGCAUAAGCCCACGGCUCGGCAUCGAGCAGGGGGAAAAGGAGCAAUCCGCUUUGAGAUGGCCUCGCGUCCGAUUAGCUAGUUGGUGAGGUAACGGCCCACCAAGGCGACGAUCGGUAGCCGGACUGAGAGGUUGAACGGCCACAUUGGGACUGAGACACGGCCCAGACUCCUACGGGAGGCAGCAGUGGGGAAUAUUGCACAAUGGGGGAAACCCUGAUGCAGCGACGCCGCGUGGAGGAAGAAGGUCUUCGGAUUGUAAACUCCUGUUGUUGAGGAAGAUAAUGACGGUACUCAACAAGGAAGUGACGGCUAACUACGUGCCAGCAGCCGCGGUAAAACGUAGGUCACAAGCGUUGUCCGGAAUUACUGGGUGUAAAGGGAGCGCAGGCGGGAGAACAAGUUGGAAGUGAAAUCCAUGGGCUCAACCCAUGAACUGCUUUCAAAACUGUUUUUCUUGAGUAGUGCAGAGGUAGGCGGAAUUCCCGGUGUAGCGGUGGAAUGCGUAGAUAUCGGGAGGAACACCAGUGGCGAAGGCGGCCUACUGGGCACCAACUGACGCUGAGGCUCGAAAGUGUGGGUAGCAAACAGGAUUAGAUACCCUGGUAGUCCACACCGUAAACGAUGAUUACUAGGUGUUGGAGGAUUGACCCCUUCAGUGCCGCAGUUAACACAAUAAGUAAUCCACCUGGGG